ACAUACGACCACAGCCGCCAGCCAAAUCCGGAUCCCGUCCGAUCUCCGCUAGAUAAUCUGGCGAGCGCUAGAUUAGUAGUUGAGUCGGUGACGAUCAGCGAAUACCUAGUGUUGUAUGUU
This 120-nucleotide ribosomal RNA is filed under the name Epichloe festucae. Lineage: Eukaryota; Fungi; Ascomycota; Sordariomycetes; Hypocreales; Clavicipitaceae. RNAcentral also lists the same sequence under 1 other name. The record is from RNAcentral.